Molecule: ribosomal RNA, 836 nt
Filed under: Wolbachia pipientis
Lineage: Bacteria; Pseudomonadati; Pseudomonadota; Alphaproteobacteria; Rickettsiales; Anaplasmataceae
Description: bacterial SSU rRNA
Rfam family: Bacterial small subunit ribosomal RNA
Source: RNAcentral
UAUAACUUAGUGGCAGACGGGUGAGUAAUGUAUAGGAAUCUACCUAGUAGUACGGAAUAAUUGUUGGAAACGACAACUAAUACCGUAUACGCCCUACGGGGGAAAAAUUUAUUGCUAUUAGAUGAGCCUAUAUUAGAUUAGCUAGUUGGUGGGGUAAUAGCCUACCAAGGUAAUGAUCUAUAGCUGAUCUGAGAGGAUGAUCAGCCACACUGGAACUGAGAUACGGUCCAGACUCCUACGGGAGGCAGCAGUGGGGAAUAUUGGACAAUGGGCGAAAGCCUGAUCCAGCCAUGCCGCAUGAGUGAAGAAGGCCUUUGGGUUGUAAAGCUCUUUUAGUGAGGAAGAUAAUGACGGUACUCACAGAAGAAGUCCUGGCUAACUCCGUGCCAGCAGCCGCGGUAAUACGGAGAGGGCUAGCGUUAUUCGGAAUUAUUGGGCGUAAAGGGCGCGUAGGCUGGUUAAUAAGUUAAAAGUGAAAUCCCGAGGCUUAACCUUGGAAUUGCUUUUAAAACUAUUAAUCUAGAGAUUGAAAGAGGAUAGGGGAAUUCCUGAUGUAGAGGUAAAAUUCGUAAAUAUUAGGAGGAACACCAGUGGCGAAGGCGUCUAUCUGGUUCAAAUCUGACGCUGAAGCGCGAAGGCGUGGGGAGCAAACAGGAUUAGAUACCCUGGUAGUCCACGCUGUAAACGAUGAAUGUUAAAUAUGGGGAGUUUACUUUCUGUAUUACAGCUAACGCGUUAAACAUUCCGCCUGGGGACUACGGUCGCAAGAUUAAAACUCAAAGGAAUUGACGGGGACCCGCACAAGCGGUGGAGCAUGUGGUUAAUCGAUGCAACGC